CAUCGUCGCCAUUUCACUCCAUCCCGACGCCAUUCCCCUCCAUCCCCGCCUCCGUCGUUGUCCAUCUCCCUCGCCGUCUCUGUCGCCCGUCCUGGUGUCUCCUCCCCCUCCAGCGUCAUUGCCUUCUCCGCUCCCUCCGUCGAAGCCCGUCUCCCCGCAAUCGCCGCCUUCUCCCCCGCCCGCGUCUCCACGCCGCCUUGUGAGUCCCCUCGGUCGCCGUCCUCCUCCCCCACCCCCUUCUCCAGCGAGUCGCCUCACGUCGCCGCGCCUCCACCCGUCACUGCCGCCACGUUCUCCUUGCCACCAGCCCUCUCCGUCGCGUCACCUCUACCCGCCACCGCCGCCACGUCCUCCUCCCCAUCAACCCCCGCCCCCUUCUCCACUCCUCUCGGCGAUCCCGCAUCUCCGUCUGGGAUCUCCAGAGCUCCGCCCUAUCCCGCCGCUACCCGCGUCGGCACACCUUCUGGUGAGUUCCACCUCAGACCCCAGCACCGCGCCACUCGCCACCGCCGAGCCUUCGUCCUCCUCGCUAUCCCCUUACUCGCCGUCGGCCUCCUCCCCCACGCUCGGCUCCAGCCCCGUCCAUCUCCGCCCACCAUCGCUCCUGCAGCCGCGUGGGAGAGCCCCCAAUCCAUCGCCCACAAGCGGAGGAGCAGCCUCUGGAUCCAAUGGCAACGCACGCCUGCACCUCCUUCGGAGCAGGAGGAAGACUCGCCAUUGGACAAUAGCGGAAGCAUGAAGGAUGAGAUGAUCCAUCUAUAUCUGAACAACUCCACCAUGGCAUUGGCGAUCCCGAGAGAGGCAUGCUUACUGGGUGCUCCGAGGUGCCAUGGCAUUGGGAUGCUGGUGGGAGCAUUCAGUAUUUGCAAGGAGCAAGAGCAAGUGCGCGAAGCCAUCUUGGAAGAACGGUUAAUGUUAACAGCAUUUUUACUUACUUACUCUGAACCACAUGCCGGUGAAGGGGUUCUCAGUGUUCAGGAAGGCAUCGAUGAAUACAUAAGAAAGCUAGCAACGAUUCUUUACAACUCUCCAUCCAACAAAUUUUGGAAUCAUGCACAGGCCAUCUCCGAAGAAAUCUAA
Molecule: long non-coding RNA, 1080 nt
Filed under: Oryza sativa aus subgroup
Lineage: Eukaryota; Viridiplantae; Streptophyta; Magnoliopsida; Poales; Poaceae
Description: lncRNA OsN22_12G003260
Source: RNAcentral